GAUGAACGCUGGCGGCGUGCCUAAUACAUGCAAGUAGAACGCUGAAGGAAGGAGCUUGCUCUUUCCGGAUGAGUUGCGAACGGGUGAGUAACGCGUAGGUAACCUGCCUGGUAGCGGGGGAUAACUAUUGGAUACGAUAGCUAAUACCGCAUAACAGUAGAUAUUGCAUGAUAUCUGCUUGAAAAGGGCAAUUGCUCCACUACCAGAUGGACCUGCGUUGUAUUAGCUAGUUGGUGAGGUAACGGCUCACCAAGGCGACGAUACAUAGCCGACCUGAGAGGGUGAUCGGCCACACUGGGACUGAGACACGGCCCAGACUCCUACGGGAGGCAGCAGUAGGGAAUCUUCGGCAAUGGACGGAAGUCUGACCGAGCAACGCCGCGGGAGUGAAGAAGGGUUUCGGAUCGUAAAGCUCUGUUGUAAGAGAAGAACGAGUGUGAGAGUGGAAAGUUCACACUGUGACGGUAUCUUACCAGAAAGGGACGGCUAACUACGUG
Molecule: ribosomal RNA, 497 nt
Filed under: uncultured bacterium
Lineage: Bacteria
Description: partial 16S ribosomal RNA
Rfam family: Bacterial small subunit ribosomal RNA
Source: RNAcentral